UCUUAAAAUCAUUAUAUUAUGGUUCUUAAGAUAACAUAAGGGAAAAAAUUGAUAGUACCUUAUUAUUAGUGUUGUCCAACAUUACUGGUGCCAGAAGACUCGGUAACGCCAGAAACGCAAACGUUAGUCGUCUUAAUCAGGCGUAAAGGGUAAGUAGGCGGCUUUAAAAGUUAAAAUUUAGAAAGCUCUUUAAAACAACUAAAGUAAAUAAUAAUGAAUUAAAGCUAGAAUCAAAAAGAGGAUAAGCCAAAUAAUAUUUAGAGUAAGGCUGAUAUCUUCAAAUACUAAAUAGAAUUCUAAUGGUGAAAACUUUUAUCUAAUAAUGAUUGACGCUGAGGAACGAAGGUGAGAAUAGAAAACAGGAUUAGAGACCCAGGUAUCUCUCACUGUCAACGAUGAAUGGUAGUUGUUAGCUUAGCUUAAGUUAGUAACGAGUAACGCGUAACC
RNAcentral lists this ribosomal RNA (447 nucleotides) under Lepiota aff. aspera. RNAcentral's name for it is "partial small subunit ribosomal RNA". It matches the Rfam family "Bacterial small subunit ribosomal RNA", at positions 422 to 865 of the family's 1533-position model. Lineage: Eukaryota; Fungi; Basidiomycota; Agaricomycetes; Agaricales; Agaricaceae. The record is from RNAcentral.